This 441-nucleotide ribosomal RNA is filed under the name uncultured bacterium. RNAcentral's name for it is "partial 16S ribosomal RNA". It matches the Rfam family "Bacterial small subunit ribosomal RNA", at positions 338 to 795 of the family's 1533-position model. The record is from RNAcentral.
CCUACGGGUGGCAGCAGUGGGGAAUAUUGCACAAUGGGGGAAACCCUGAUGCAGCGACGCCGCGUGAGUGAAGAAGUAUUUCGGUAUGUAAAGCUCUAUCAGCAGGGAAGAAGAACGACGUUAGCUAACUAACAAGCCCCGGCUAACUACGUGCCAGCAGCCGCGGUAAUACGUAGGGGGCAAGCGUUAUCCGGAUUUACUGGGUGUAAAGGGAGCGUAGACGGCUGUGCAAGUCUGAGGUGAAAGCCCAGGGCUCAACCCUGGGACUGCUUUGGAAACUGUGGAGCUAGAGUGCUGGAGAGGUAAGUGGAAUUCCAAGUGUAGCGGUGAAAUGCGUAGAUAUUAGGAGGAACACCGGUGGCGAAGGCGGCCUGCUGGACUGUGACUGACGCUGAGGCGCGAAAGCGUGGGGAGCAAACAGGAUUAGAUACCCCAGUAGUC